GAAUGCUGACAUAAGUAACGAUAAAGCGGGUGAAAAGCCCGCUCGCCGGAAGACCAAGGGUUCCUGUCCAACGUUAAUCGGGGCAGGGUGAGUCGACCCCUAAGGCGAGGCCGAAAGGCGUAGUCGAUGGGAAACGGGUUAAUAUUCCCGUACUUGGUGUUACUGCGAAGGGGGGACGGAGAAGGCUAUGUUGGCCGGGCGACGGUUGUCCCGGUUUAAGCGUGUAGGUGUGUGUUCCAGGUAAAUCCGGUUCACUUUAACACUGAGGCGUGACGACGAGGCACUACGGUGCUGAAGCAACAAAUGCCCUGCUUCCAGGAAAAGCCUCUAAGCAUCAGGUAACAUCAAAUCGUACCCCAAACCGACACAGGUGGUCAGGUAGAGAAUACCAAGGCGCUUGAGAGAACUCGGGUGAAGGAACUAGGCAAAAUGGUGCCGUAACUUCGGGAGAAGGCACGCUGACACGUAGGUGAAGUGAUUUACUCAUGGAGCUGAAGUCAGUCGAAGAUACCAGCUGGCUGCAACUGUUUAUUAAAAACACAGCACUGUGCAAACACGAAAGUGGACGUAUACGGUGUGACGCCUGCCCGGUGCCGGAAGGUUAAUUGAUGGGGUCAGCGCAAGCGAAGCUCCUGAUCGAAGCCCCGGUAAACGGCGGCCGUAACUAUAACGGUCCUAAGGUAGCGAAAUUCCUUGUCGGGUAAGUUCCGACCUGCACGAAUGGCGUAAUGAUGGCCAGGCUGUCUCCACCCGAGACUCAGUGAAAUUGAACUCGCUGUGAAGAUGCAGUGUACCCGCGGCAAGACGGAAAGACCCCGUGAACCUUUACUAUAGCUUGACACUGAACAUUGAGCCUUGAUGUGUAGGAUAGGUGGGAGGCUUUGAAGUGUGGACGCCAGUCUGCAUGGAGCCGACCUUGAAAUACCACCCUUUAAUGUUUGAUGUUCUAACGUGGACCCGUUACCCGGGUUGCGGACAGUGUCUGGUGGGUAGUUUGACUGGGGCGGUCUCCUCCUAAAGAGUAACGGAGGAGCACGAAGGUUGGCUAAUCCUGGUCGGACAUCAGGAGGUUAGUGCAAUGGCAUAAGCCAGCUUGACUGCGAGCGUGACGGCGCGAGCAGGUGCGAAAGCAGGUCAUAGUGAUCCGGUGGUUCUGAAUGGAAGGGCCAUCGCUCAACGGAUAAAAGGUACUCCGGGGAUAACAGGCUGAUACCGCCCAAGAGUUCAUAUCGACGGCGGUGUUUGGCACCUCGAUGUCGGCUCAUCACAUCCUGGGGCUGAAGUAGGUCCCAAGGGUAUGGCUGUUCGCCAUUUAAAGUGGUACGCGAGCUGGGUUUAGAACGUCGUGAGACAGUUCGGUCCCUAUCUGCCGUGGGCGCUGGAGAACUGAGGGGGGCUGCUC
This 1402-nucleotide ribosomal RNA is filed under the name Salmonella enterica. RNAcentral's name for it is "partial 23S ribosomal RNA". It matches the Rfam family "Bacterial large subunit ribosomal RNA", at positions 1292 to 2677 of the family's 2925-position model. The record is from RNAcentral. Lineage: Bacteria; Pseudomonadati; Pseudomonadota; Gammaproteobacteria; Enterobacterales; Enterobacteriaceae.